Molecule: transfer RNA, 66 nt
Filed under: uncultured Faecalimonas sp.
Lineage: Bacteria; Bacillati; Bacillota; Clostridia; Lachnospirales; Lachnospiraceae
Rfam family: tRNA
About the family: Transfer RNA (tRNA) molecules are approximately 80 nucleotides in length. Their secondary structure includes four short double-helical elements and three loops (D, anti-codon, and T loops).
Source: RNAcentral
CCGAUGGCUCAGUUGGUUAGAGCGCCGCCCUGUCACGGCGGAGGUCGAGGGUUCGAGUCCCUUUCG